UCAAAAAGAGGAUAAACCUUUAGUAUUAAUGUAAAUAAUAAACUUUAAUUAAUAAGAUACAUUUUG
RNAcentral lists this transfer RNA (66 nucleotides) under Parathailocyba orla. RNAcentral's name for it is "tRNA-Val". The record is from RNAcentral. Lineage: Eukaryota; Metazoa; Arthropoda; Insecta; Hemiptera; Cicadellidae.